Molecule: ribosomal RNA, 603 nt
Filed under: Triticum aestivum (bread wheat)
Lineage: Eukaryota; Viridiplantae; Streptophyta; Magnoliopsida; Poales; Poaceae
Description: partial small subunit ribosomal RNA
Source: RNAcentral
AUGGACUCUCUGUAUAAUGAAAUUAAGACUGUACCUGAUGGCUGGAAGAUCCGAACAUGCUUUAGGAGCAUUUAUUGGGACCAUUGGAGAAAGGGGCACACUGUCCAUGUUGAUGACAUAUCAGCCGACCCACAUCAUGCUAUGAUGCUACCUCACCUGUGGGAUAGUAGAACUCAUAAAUGCAGAUUGAAUAGACUGAAGACUACACCAGGCUACCCGACCUUCAGCAUUUAUGGUAUUGAUUUUGUCUACCUCAUGUCUGAAGUGGGUGUUAACAAGAAGCCAUGGAUGCUUGGUGUAGAUAUUGAAAAGAAGUCUCUGGAUGUUAUCAAACCAUAUUGUGCCUCAAGAGCACCUUGUUCCGAUCAGACCUUCAAGAACACCUUCAUUUCCUGUGCAUUCUCUGCAUAUCUGAAUGCUGCUCCAAGUCCAAGGCCAUAUGAUGAGGAAGUUUCAGCAGAGUCUGCUCACAGCGGUGCAAUGGAUGAUCAUCUUCCGUCGGGCAAUACUGUUCCAAAAGAUGUGCAAACCCAGCAAAACACGUCGAAUGGGGAUGACUCUGGCAAGUAUCAUCCGCCAACCCACUUCAGCCACCCAGUUUGA